Molecule: ribosomal RNA, 375 nt
Filed under: uncultured bacterium
Lineage: Bacteria
Description: bacterial SSU rRNA
Rfam family: Bacterial small subunit ribosomal RNA
Source: RNAcentral
UAAUACGAAGGGGGCAAGCGUUGCUCGGAAUCACUGGGCGUAAAGGGCGCGUAGGCGGACGUUUAAGUCAGGGGUGAAAUCCCGAGGCUCAACCUCGGAAUUGCCUUUGAUACUGGAUGUCUCGAGACCGGAAGAGGUGAGUGGAACUGCGAGUGUAGAGGUGAAAUUCGUAGAUAUUCGCAAGAACACCAGUGGCGAAGGCGGCUCACUGGUCCGGUUCUGACGCUGAGGCGCGAAAGCGUGGGGAGCAAACAGGAUUAGAUACCCUGGUAGUCCACGCCGUAAACGAUGGAUGCUAGCCGUUGGCGAGCUUGCUCGUCAGUGGCGCAGCUAACGCUUUAAGCAUCCCGCCUGGGGAGUACGGUCGCAAGAUUA